RNAcentral lists this ribosomal RNA (269 nucleotides) under uncultured prokaryote. Its description in RNAcentral is "partial 16S ribosomal RNA". It matches the Rfam family "Bacterial small subunit ribosomal RNA", at positions 524 to 792 of the family's 1533-position model. The record is from RNAcentral.
UACGUAGGUGGCGAGCGUUAUCCGGAAUUAUUGGGCGUAAAGCGAGCGCAGGCGGUUCCUUAAGUCUGAUGUGAAAGCCCACGGCUCAACCGUGGAAGGUCAUUGGAAACUGGGGAACUUGAGUGCAGAAGAGGAGAGUGGAAUUCCAUGUGUAGCGGUGAAAUGCGUAGAGAUUAGGAAGAACACCAGUGGCGAAGGCGAUUCUCUGGACUGUAACUGACGCUGAGGCUCGAAAGCGUGGGGAGCAAACGGGAUUAGAUACCCGGGUA